RNAcentral lists this ribosomal RNA (296 nucleotides) under Cryptosporidium scrofarum. Its description in RNAcentral is "partial 18S ribosomal RNA". It matches the Rfam family "Eukaryotic small subunit ribosomal RNA", at positions 465 to 796 of the family's 1831-position model. Lineage: Eukaryota; Apicomplexa; Conoidasida; Eucoccidiorida; Cryptosporidiidae. The record is from RNAcentral.
UAGUGACAAGAAAUAACAAUACAGAACCUCACGGUUUUGUAAUUGGAAUGAGUUAAGUAUAAACCCCUUAACGAGUAUCAAUUGGAGGGCAAGUCUGGUGCCAGCAGCCGCGGUAAUUCCAGCUCCAAUAGCGUAUAUUAAAGUUGUUGCAGUUAAAAAGCUCGUAGUUGAUUUUCUGUUAAUUUUUAUGUAUAAUAUUGCGAUAUUUACAUAAUAUUAACAUAAUUCACAUUACUUUACAGUAUGUGGAAUUUUACUUUGAGAAAAUUAGAGUGCUUAAAGCAGGCUAUUGCCUU